This 124-nucleotide transfer RNA is filed under the name Microcaldota archaeon. Its description in RNAcentral is "tRNA-Lys". It matches the Rfam family "tRNA". Rfam says of the family: Transfer RNA (tRNA) molecules are approximately 80 nucleotides in length. Their secondary structure includes four short double-helical elements and three loops (D, anti-codon, and T loops). The record is from RNAcentral. Lineage: Archaea; Nanobdellati; Microcaldota.
GGGCCCGUAACUCAGCUUGGCCUAGAGUGUCUGGCUUUUAACCAGAAAGCCGUGGGUUCAAACCCAUAUCCCCUUUUCUUUCCCAAAAGAAAAGGGUCUGAGGGUUUCAAUCCCACCGGGCCCG